Molecule: non-coding RNA, 816 nt
Organism: Gasterosteus aculeatus aculeatus (three-spined stickleback)
Lineage: Eukaryota; Metazoa; Chordata; Actinopteri; Perciformes; Gasterosteidae
Source: RefSeq, a predicted model, not a curated record
UUGCUUUGCAGCUGUGUCCUGAGAAGGGAGGACGGUCAACUCAAGCUCCUGUAAAUUUGGGGGCUCGUCCGGGAUGAGAGGUUUUCCUUCAAAGGCGAAUUUGAUCCAAAGCGCUUACACCUGCUGAACGCGACGUACUCCCAAGUCGGCCUCAAAACAAGUUCCAGUGAAUCUUAUUGGAAGGGAUCUUCUUAAGACGGGGGCUUCGAUCUUGUGCAGCCCAGACGGACUAAGCGUCACCAUGAUGGAUGGAACGGUUCUGCAUUGCAAUGACAAUGGACAAACGAAAGGUCAGUGGGUGGUGCAGCCACUGCAGCAACAACAACAAUAUGCAGACAUUUAUUGAGGCCUCUUGAAGCCUGAGUGUCCUGAAGGGGUUAUGACUCUUUACCAAAAGUGGAAGCCUUGGAUAACUCUUCUUGAUCCGUAUGUUCCUCCUCCAGAUCCUCCUCCUGUAGCAUUGUUUUAUGAUAGACAAGGGGAUGAGUGCUAUUGUGACGAAUUCCUGGAAUAUUUAGAAAACACUGAAUGGGAGGUGACGUCCCAAAAUCUCUAUGUGGGCCCAGAAAGGGUAGCCCCAGCUGUCAUCCUCUCCUCCGAUCAAUCAAAAUGGUAUUUAAUGAAUCAAGAUGCAGUGCCGCAUGUGUCGUUGGCUUUGCAUCCCAAACAUCAGGCUAAAGACCUAGGUCUAAUGACGAAACAGGCGAUGCUGCUAGACGACUGGGAAUGCACUCAACUGCCUGAUGUUUGUUUUUCUCCCUCCGCUAAAAUGUACAGGAUUACAGGGAAAGCAACUAACUCUGUUAUUGUAACACA